This is a non-coding RNA of Coturnix japonica (Japanese quail), 1772 nucleotides long. NCBI's taxonomy places the organism in Eukaryota, Metazoa, Chordata, Aves, Galliformes, Phasianidae. The record is from RefSeq and is a predicted model, not a curated record.
AGUCAAUCUUCAUACGCACCCCCUCUCCCCACCCCGUAGGCAUUGAGAAGCUGCCAUGAGGUUCCUCUGCACUCUGAACAAACAUCUUUCUCCCCAGCUUCUCUUCUCUGAGUGGGAGCUUCAGCCCCCUGCACAGGCUGGAGGUCAUCCACAGAGUUUGUUUCAGGUUGUUAUCCUUCCUGGCCAAAAACCAGAUACAGUAUUGUAGAUGUGGUGCAAUGAGUGUUGAAGCAGGAAUGACUUGUCCUGGUCUGGUUGUGCUGCUUUUUAAUGCAGCUGAUGAUCUUGUUGUACUUCUUUUCUGUCAGAGCACACUGCUGGCUUGCAUUCAGCCUGUGGUCUCUCACCACUUGUCCUCCUAGUCCCCAGGUCCUUUCCAACAGAUACAAGCUAGUAUUUCCCACCUGGGAUAUUGGAAGAUGGGAACUUGCCAGCAGUCAGUGAAGAUCUCUGAGACAGCGAGAGCGAGCGAGCUUUGAGUAGACUGGGAACCACUGUCCACAGCAGGAAAUAAGAGAAAAGAUGUUUCCUUGGGCACUUGGGUGGAAAUCAUUCCUGACUGCUUUCUCAUCCACCGGGAAAAUCUGCUGAUUGACAAUUUGAAGCUGAUAGACUUUGGACUCUGUGCAAAGCCAAAGGCGGAUAUUUGGAGCAUGGGUGUACUGCUGUAUGCUCUGCUGUGUGGGUUUUCCCUUUGGAUGAUGACAAUAUGAUGGCACUCUACAGGAGGAUACCAGUGGGUAUCAGUGGUGCUAGAAUACACUGAGAAGGGAAAUAGCUGAGCUUGACAAGAGGCCUUGCUUUUCGGAUGGCAGAACAUGCUGAGCUGACAGCAGAAAACCCUUUGUGCUAAUCAUGAUGCCAAGAAGCAGAAUGCGGCAGAUGAUCCAACUGCUUCAGCUGGGACACCUUGAUGAAGACUGUGUAACAGCUUUCUGUGUUUCACAACAAGAGAAGAGAGAGUAGAUCAGCAUUAACAUCAGAGCCUUUCUGUUAUAUUUUACCAUGCUGAAAUCCUAGGUACAGGGAAUAAAGAGAACAAUCGACCUACAAGGGGAAAAAGUUCUUCAGUUCAAGUCUGUGAUAUUUUCACAGUCUUAAUUCAAAGGACUUCUAAUGCCUGAUAAGUAAUUCAAGCUUAUUAUACUACACUGAGUCUGUCAAGCAUUGUACCCACGGUUCUCAUAGUAGUCAAAAAGCUGCUGAAAAUCCAGCUGAAUGUCGAUGCUCCUUGGAGCUGGGCUGAAACUUGCCCCCAGAAAUGGGAGUCCAGCUGAAAUGCUGUACAAACUGAAUUAGUAGGAGCUUUGCCAUUCACUUCAGUAGAGAGAUUCUGGCACCAGCUUUAGUUUUCACUUCCAGCAAUUGUACAAUACACUAACUUUCAAGCAAAAACGAGAAUAGUCUGCUUCUUUAUCUCAGACAUAUUGUGUGAAUCAGCUGAGGCCUGAAACUACCCUAAUGUGAUCAGACGUGAAGGUUGCACAUCAAGGGGAAAAUAUGGCAGACAUGCAGAAAUUUUCUUUGUACUGACAAUGUUUCUGAAGAGAUCUAAAUCCUCUUGUUUUCUAGCGGAAUUACGACCAGUUGUGGCAACCUAUCUCUUGCUUCAGUCUAAGAAGGCUCGUGGCAAGCACAUUCCCUUGAGAUUUCCAUCCCAAACAGGACGUGCCAGUACCACACAGUCAGGAAGCCUGGGGAACACAGUCCUGGAGAGGAUUUGCUUUCCUUGUUUCCUGGAGACUUGGAUUCUUAGAUGGUUUUGACUGCAG